This is a non-coding RNA of Rattus norvegicus (Norway rat), 68 nucleotides long. The record is from Rfam. NCBI's taxonomy places the organism in Eukaryota, Metazoa, Chordata, Mammalia, Rodentia, Muridae.
GGGGAUUUAGCUCAGUGGUAGAGCACUUGCCUAGCAAGUGCAAGGCCCUGGGUUCGGGCCCAGCUCCA